GACAUUUUGGUCUAAUGGUAUGAUCUCUGCUUCACAUGCAGAAAGUCCCGGGUUCGAUACCUGCUACUAACC
Aphanomyces astaci is the source of this 72-nucleotide non-coding RNA. The record is from the annotation of a RefSeq genome assembly. Lineage: Eukaryota; Oomycota; Saprolegniomycetes; Saprolegniales; Verrucalvaceae.